Molecule: ribosomal RNA, 319 nt
Filed under: Clostridioides difficile
Lineage: Bacteria; Bacillati; Bacillota; Clostridia; Peptostreptococcales; Peptostreptococcaceae
Description: bacterial SSU rRNA
Rfam family: Bacterial small subunit ribosomal RNA
Source: RNAcentral
UAACUGACGCUGAGGCACGAAAGCGUGGGGAGCAAACAGGAUUAGAUACCCUGGUAGUCCACGCUGUAAACGAUGAGUACUAGGUGUCGGGGGUUACCCCCUGCGGUGCCGCAGCUAACGCAUUAAGUACUCCGCCUGGGAAGUACGCUCGCAAGAGGGAAACUCAAAGGAAUUGACGGGGACCCGCACAAGUAGCGGAGCAUGUGGUUUAAUUCGAAGCAACGCGAAGAACCUUACCUAAGCUUGACAUCCCAAUGACAUCUCCUUAAUCGGAGAGUUCCCUUCGGGGACAUUGGUGACAGGUGGUGCAUGGUUGUCG